ACUCAAAUGAAUUGACGGGGACUUGCACAAGCAGUGGAUUAUGUGGUUUAAUUCGAUGGUAAACGAAGAACCUUACCAGGGUUAGAAAUCUACUUGAAAGCCCUAAGAAACUAGGGCCCUCGCAAGACAAGUGGACAGGUGUUGCAUGGCCGUCGUCAGUUCGUGGUUUGAAUUGUACCCUUAAGUGGGCUAACGAACGCAACCCUCGUUGUGUGUUACAAGUGUCACACGAGACUGCCCAGACCAAAGCGCAAAAGAAGUUAAGAAACUUUUUGUGCAUUUCGGUCUGGGAGGAAGGAGAGGAUGACGCCAGGUCAGCAUGACCCUUGAUACCCUGGGCUACACACAUAAUACAAUGGCCGUUACAACGCGCAGCGACGAGGCGACUCUGAGCUAAUCGUCUAAAAGCGGCCUCAGUUCGGAUUGAAGUCUGCAACUCGACUUCAUGAAGCUGGAAUUGCUAGUAAUCGCGGGUCAGCUAAACCGCGGUGAAUACGUUCUCAAGUCUUGUACACACCGCCCGU
RNAcentral lists this ribosomal RNA (524 nucleotides) under uncultured bacterium. Its description in RNAcentral is "partial 16S ribosomal RNA". It matches the Rfam family "Bacterial small subunit ribosomal RNA", at positions 899 to 1397 of the family's 1533-position model. The record is from RNAcentral.